Molecule: ribosomal RNA, 253 nt
Filed under: uncultured bacterium
Lineage: Bacteria
Description: partial 16S ribosomal RNA
Rfam family: Bacterial small subunit ribosomal RNA
Source: RNAcentral
GACGUAGGGUCCGAGCGUUGUCCGGAGUUACUGGGCGUAAAGGGCGCGUAGGCGGCUUUGUGCGUCACCCGUGAAAGCCCCCGGCUCAACCGGGGAGGGUCGGGUGAAACGGCGGAGCUGGAGGCAGCGAGAGGCUGGUGGAAUUCCUGGUGUAGCGGUGAAAUGCGCAGAUAUCAGGAGGAACACCGACGGCGCAGGCAGCGUCCUGGCCGCUUGCUGACACUGAGGCACGAAAGCUGGGGGAGCAAACAGG